CUACCGUGAAUACGUUCCCGGGUCUUGUACACACCGCCCGUCAAACCAUGAAAGUCGCCAAUACCUGAAGCGUCCAACUAGUUUGGUUCUAAGGUAGGGGAGAUGAUUGGGGUU
RNAcentral lists this ribosomal RNA (114 nucleotides) under uncultured bacterium. Its description in RNAcentral is "partial 16S ribosomal RNA". It matches the Rfam family "Bacterial small subunit ribosomal RNA", at positions 1357 to 1482 of the family's 1533-position model. The record is from RNAcentral.